UGGCAGUAAGGGUUUUUCAUGUACUAUAAUUUUUUAAUUUUGUUAGCCUGCAAUUAUUUGUUGACUUUAUGUGGGAGAUGGAACCUGUUUUUAUUUGAAUCUGGAGACGGAGGCCAUUGAUGUAUUUACGGGAGCAGACCUUGACCCCAUCACCGCAGUUUGCGUCUCUGACAACACCAUUAUCACAUCGUGUAGAGAUAAAUUGAUUCGUGUUUAUAAUCAUUAAAUAAAUCUAGGUCUCCGGUGUGUCCCUUGAACUCUGUCGACCAAACCUACUUUUGCCAAGUUGGAUAUUCAAGCAGCUUCUAUGCUAGAUUGUUAGCUACCUUUGAAAACAAUAAAACUGUAUCCUGUCUAUAAUAACCGCUCCACGUAAUUUUCGAUUGCCAUAGAUUUUUUUAUUUGCAAAGUCACUUUGUCACGAACUUGGACGAUGUAGUUGCGUUAUUAUUUAACGAUGUUUAUGACUUCUUGCGUGUCCACACAAGUUUGCGGCAGAGCAACACGCACGACUGCUAAAAGAUUCACAAGUGUUACUUGUGUUUGAAUGGCUUUUUCUGUUUAAAACAAGCAAUACUUGUAUAUUAUACACAUUGAGUUCAUUAUAAUGGGCCCUGCUUCCGGAUACUUCUACGAGAUUAAAUACAUGUGGUAAUAAUUUCAAACCAAUUGAGAAUGCAGUAAUUAUAUAGAGUUCAAUGAUGAAGAGGAUGAUAACAGGGAUUGAGACGAUAAUAGAGCGCAAUGAAAAUAUGUUUAAUGAAAACGUCACUUGGGGCUUACAAUUUAAAGUUACAAUAUCUUAUUUCAUUAAAUCUAUAUUUAUAAACAUGUGAGCUAAUAAAAUUGAAAUAUAAAAAUCAAUGUAGUCAACACCACCUUGUAAGAAUGUACUGGAUUAACAGGUUGUAAUUUGGAAAUAUAGACCCCCUACCAUGGGAGUGAAGAAUAUUAAAUAAGUUCAUAGAAUGAUAUAAAGAACCCAUUCAGCUUGACAUUUGAAAUAGGUUCUAAUUUGUAAGGUUAGUCUAGUUAAGGUUAGUCUAGUUAAGGUUAGUCUAGUUAAGAUUAGCAGGGACGUGAGCUUGUUUGGUGGGGUGCGAAACGGCCAGGUAGGUGCGAAAAUUGAUAAAUGCUGAUAUACCAGGAUGUAGAACCUAUCCUGUUCCCGCUGGGACCCCCUGAUGGCACGGCCACUGUUAUCCUGCCUAAAAAUCUCAUGAGGGCUAUCCUAGGAGCCGAGGGCUCAGUAUCCAUUUAAAUCUUCAGAGCAAAAAGCAGGAACAAUACCUUAUCUCAGCCAACCGUUCAGCUAUAAACUGUUUGUGGGGCAGAUACUGUAAUUUCACAGGAGCAAAAUGAUUUGAAUAGAAACUAACCGAGCCCAACGUCUUGAAACACAGCCACUGCUGCAGUGCAGAUGCCAACAUCCCCUUCUUCAUAUUAUGCUUAGAAUAUUUUUUUCCCAUUUUAGUUGAUAAUAUAGAUAUAAUUAGACAUAAUAUAAAAGCAUGUUACAAUAUCCACUAUACCAAUAGCGUAUUGUUGUUCUUAAUCUUAUCAACUUGAUUUUUCAUUUUAUUGCUUAAAAAAAAUAAAACAUUUUUAAAAAUUCUGUGUAGAGACAUUGUAGUUUUAAAAGCAUUGUUUAUUCAGCUUUAUGGUCAUAACCAUUGACAUAGCCACUCAGAAGUUAACAAUUUACAUAAAUUACAUUUUGUACAUUUCUCAUACCAAUCCUAACAAAUAAACCAUAUUUACUUAACAGCUCAGUUGUAAAAGUGCUACUUUCAUCCCUGUCUGUGGCGGGACGAAAAAUUUAACACCAUGCUCGAAAAGUUAACUAUUCACUAAAGUAAAAUUAGUUGCGAAAUUUUGGAUGCAAUUUUUAAAACUAGGACUUUUUAGAAGAGUUAAACCGUGAUGGCGUUAAGAUGCAGCUGCUGUUUCCAACAUUGAACGCGGUUGGUUUAAAGUGUAAAGCCAUUAGUGCGGUCAUUUUAUAGGUCAAACAAAGGAGUUCAUACAUUAAUUGUUUCUCCGUUUGUUUUUUUUCGCAGAGUUAUUCUCGGACUGCAUUUAGAAAUAAGCUCAAAGCAUUGGUUAAAAUUAUGACCCAUAGGGCCGUGUCCUGGAUUUCUUGUAGUAUAUACGUCGAUUUGGAUAUAGAGUGUAAUGCUGUGUUUUUUAACUCCGAAUAAAUGCACAACGUACGAAUAGAUUUCAUAAUUGGUUGAAAGUUUUUAUUUGUGAUUAAUUGGAUUCAAUGGUCAUAAAGCUCUUUAUGUGUUUACUGACAUCCCUCUUGAUAAAUUAUUGUAACUGUUUUUUCAUGUGUUAUGGGGAAAAGCCAUGCAUGUUGUAUAGUUUUUAAUGGAGUGAGAUUGAUUAUUUCGGCUGUACAGUACAUAUAGUUGUUUAUGUAUGGUAAUUGUCAGCAAAAAUGUGUAGUAAUUAUAUAUAAUAUUUUCUCAUCUGAUGAUGCAUAAAAAUCUUCAAACAACAAAUGAAAGAAGGUUUCCAAAAUAA
Molecule: long non-coding RNA, 2529 nt
Organism: Anneissia japonica
Lineage: Eukaryota; Metazoa; Echinodermata; Crinoidea; Comatulida; Comatulidae
Exons: 3
Source: RefSeq, a predicted model, not a curated record